ACAAAACAUAUGCCUAAUCCAAUUUUGAUACACGUUGGAACGGGGGAACCAAUGAUUUGGGGUGAAACCGCGCAUGCGCGGUCGGGCGUCUUUCGACCGAACCCGUCAGCUAACCUCGUCGGCAGAUAAGAGAGGGAAU
Molecule: small RNA, 139 nt
Filed under: Aneurinibacillus sp. XH2
Lineage: Bacteria; Bacillati; Bacillota; Bacilli; Caryophanales; Paenibacillaceae
Also listed under: 1 other name
Description: c-di-AMP riboswitch aptamer (ydaO/yuaA leader)
Rfam family: c-di-AMP riboswitch aptamer (ydaO/yuaA leader)
About the family: This family represents a conserved RNA structure found upstream of the ydaO and yuaA genes in Bacillus subtilis and related genes in other bacteria. The ydaO/yuaA element is thought to act as a genetic "off" switch for the ydaO and yuaA genes in its native state.
Source: Rfam by way of RNAcentral